AGGCGAAACACCCUUCGGGGUGUCCGGUCGAGGUGGUUCUCGAUCGCUGACGAUGCCAGCCUGCA
This 65-nucleotide non-coding RNA is filed under the name Streptomyces sp. H34-S4. The record is from RNAcentral. RNAcentral also lists the same sequence under 1 other name. Lineage: Bacteria; Bacillati; Actinomycetota; Actinomycetes; Kitasatosporales; Streptomycetaceae.